CUACGGGUGGCUGCAGUGAGGAAUAUUGCACAAUGGGGGGAACCCUGAUGCAGCAACGCCGCGUGGAGGAUGACGCAUUUCGGUGUGUAAACUCCUUUUAUAUGUCAAGAAAAUGACGGUAGCAUAUGAAUAAGCACCGGCUAACUCCGUGCCAGCAGCCGCGGUAAUACGGAGGGUGCAAGCGUUACUCGGAAUCACUGGGCGUAAAGGACGCGUAGGCGGGUUGGAAAGUCAGGUGUGAAAUCCUACAGCUUAACUGUAGAACUGCACUUGAAACUUCUAAUCUAGAGUAUGGGAGGGGGAGAUGGAAUUAGUGGUGUAGGGGUAACAUCCGUAGAUAUCACUAGGAAUACCUAAAGCGAAGGCGAUCUCCUGGAACAUUACUGACGCUAAGGCGUGAAAGCGUGGGGAGCAAACAGGGUUAGAUACCCGUGUAGUC
Molecule: ribosomal RNA, 439 nt
Filed under: uncultured bacterium
Lineage: Bacteria
Description: partial 16S ribosomal RNA
Rfam family: Bacterial small subunit ribosomal RNA
Source: RNAcentral